This is a long non-coding RNA of Cryptotermes secundus, 222 nucleotides long. RefSeq lists it as uncharacterized. The record is from RefSeq and is a predicted model, not a curated record. NCBI's taxonomy places the organism in Eukaryota, Metazoa, Arthropoda, Insecta, Blattodea, Kalotermitidae. The transcript is spliced from 3 exons.
GUGAUACAUUUUCAGCGACACGGAACCGCCACCAGUCGAGGCGCUGCAAAGUCCUAGGAUUCGCGCACAAGGAAUUUUGGCGUAAGGAGCGGAGGAGUACACGUCAUGCAACAUCUCACGUGGCUUUCAAAUGCCUUGGAAGGAAAUCUUGAGUGGGCAGGAGGAUUUCUGGAGUCAUGCCUCGGAACAUAGUGAAAGAAGUCCUGAACGACGAAUUUGAAG